Molecule: ribosomal RNA, 492 nt
Filed under: Dendrobaena byblica
Lineage: Eukaryota; Metazoa; Annelida; Clitellata; Crassiclitellata; Lumbricidae
Description: partial 16S ribosomal RNA
Rfam family: Bacterial large subunit ribosomal RNA
Source: RNAcentral
CAAAAACAUUGCUUCUUGAAACAAAAUAAGAAGUAAUUCCUGCCCAGUGAUUCAACGGCCGCGGUAUCCUAACCGUGCAAAGGUAGCAUAAUCACUUGCCCAUUAAUUGUGGGCUAGAAUGAACGGAUUAACGAAAUAAAUACUGUCUCCAUAAGCUUAAUAAAAAUUAAUCUCUAACUGAAGAGUGUUAGAUUCUGUCGAAGGACAAGAAGACCCUAUAGAGCUUUAUUUUAACAUAAAUUAUUUAUGCCAAAAUUCGGUUGGGGCGACCAGGGAAGUUAUUAAUCAUCCCUCACAUAAGAUUUAUUAAUCAUCUACAUGACCCUUAAUAAAGAGCAUAAAAAUAAGCUACCUUAGGGAUAACAGGCUAAUUUUCUUAAAGAGUCCUUAUCAAUAAGAAAGUUUGGCACCUCGAUGUUGGCUUAGGGAAUCUAUGUGGUGCAAAAGUCACAUAAAGAUGGUUUGUUCAACCAAUAACACCCUACAUGAUCU